GACCCCCCAUCGAAUUCAGGAAAGAUAGAACGAAUGAUUUUCGCAGCGUUAUGCUUGGAAGCGCUCUCGUUUGUUAGCAAGAAUACGCUGCACGAAUCUGCUGUUACUGUUAGAGAAUCUGCUUCUCGAGUGAAGUAGGAGCGUAGCUUUGAAGACAGAAGCAAUAGCCUGAUUAGUCACUUCUCAUGGAUCAGGUUUGGGUAUAAGACAUGUUGGAUCCACAAAGGUAGUGAAGUUACUUCCGGGGGAAGGCAGGCAGGAGAAAAUCCCACCUUGCUUUUUUCCUAGAAAAUGGAUCUCUCUUUUGUCGAUCCCAUUUCCUUUCCAUCAUUCCAGUGAGUAAGUUAAUCGUUGGUAUGCCAUAUUCUUAAUAGCAAGCACAGAAGCAGGAAAGCUAGCCCCUCAUAAAGUCGUGUUAAAAAUUUAUAUAGGAGAGGUCGUAGAAGACCAAAGGUCUACAGAGUCGGGUUCAAUGCCCAUCAGCCUACCAGAGGCUGAGGAUGAGCAUGAACAGAAGCCCGAAGCCAAAGGAGACCAAAGCCCAAGGAAGAGAAAGGGGGUAGGGCCAUUACCGAGAUAGGCUAAGAAGCGGUAGAUCGCGAGAGGCUUUUAGGCGCCUUUUCUUUCAGUAUUCUUUACGUCUAAGACUCUCUUUCACUCGUUUUAAAAAAUAAAGAUUUUUUGGCGAGCAAUGCUUUUGGAUUUAUUGAUCUGCUUUCGGGUAGACUAGUCAAAGUCGCAGAGAAACUCAUACCUUGCCUUAAGCCUAUAGUAUAAAAGGAAGGCCUAGCGUUUAAGGCAAAUAAGUCUUUAUGUGCUCUUACGGUAGCCAGUAAAGCGUGACGUAAGGAGCGAGGGCAGGUUUAAUAGCAUUACAGCUAGUAGAGCAGACAGGUUUGAGAAAGGUCAUUGAAAGUCCCAUUUUCCCAUUCUAUUCGAUAGACACAAUCUCUAAGACUAUUAGUUAUACCUAACAGGUCUUUCCCUUAAGCCUUAUCUGUACCGGAAAACGAGCCUCUCAACAAAUAAAAGAAAACAAGGGAAGAGAAGAACGGUUUGGGUAGUGCAGUAAGUCAACGGUGAAACUUGAGUCAAAGCCAGUCGGGCAUCUGGUCCAGGGACAGGAGAAGGGCAGCACUAGUAGUUUGUGUCUUGGUGUCGUAAAGUCCUAUUUGUUUGUUACAGGGGGAUCCAACUCAAGACAGGGAAGUGACUUACCGGAUUCUGGACUCCCUACUCUGUCUGGUUUUGGGGGUCGUCAAUAGCUAAGCAUUGUGGCCAUCACAGUUCAAGCUACGUAUGGCUGGCGUACAACCUACGGGCUUCUUAGCCAAAAGAAAAAAACACGACCACAUAUAUACGACAAUUCCCCAUAUCUAUCUCUAAGUAUCUCUUAGAAUUUUAGCUGAGUCUUUGAUAUGAAUCUGAUUCCCUAAAUGAAAUAAGGAAUAUAGGUAGGCCUUGGUUGGAAGAAAUGAUUGCAUACUUCUUUAUUUGAUUGGGAAGGGCUAUGAUGUCAAUAGAUAUUUAUGAAUAAAGAUCCUCCUGGCAGUACGACGGACCUUAGAGAUCGCAAAGUUGAAGCAAGCCCAGUGUAAAACCUUACUAGUAAAAGUUCCCUAAAUAAGGUGGGAUCAAAAUACGUUUUUUGAAGCCGACUGGUAGCAUGUAGUCGUAGGCGGAGAUAAACAAGUGAUAAACAUUUAGUCCUCACUUCACACUUUCUAGAUAUCUUUCUCUAUUAUCGGCUGCAUGCUAUCGGAGAGAAAACAAUGGGAAGUUCAGUCAAACGCAUUUACCGCGCCAAUGAUCAAGCAAAUAAGAAUCUCUGUCUUAUUUUUCUUACGCAAUUUCGGAAGAUUCCCCAUCUGAGAGAUGUUGUUCUAUGGAAGGUCCCUUUUUAAAAUAAGGAGUUUGCCUAGGAACUCCACCUUAGAAACUUUCCUGCCUCCGCUCAAAAUCCACCUAUACUAAUCGGAUUUUUUCCUAUUCUUAGACGACUUUUCUAUUGCCUUCCGUGCAAAAACUCUUUUGAAUCCGUAGGGGAAUGCGGAUAUAAAGAGAAAUGAAGCAGCUGGGCCUGAUAUAGAGACUGCCCAUAAGAUAAGGCUGAGCUUAAACCUUAUGUGUCGUCUAACUGAGCAGCAACACAAUAUCGGAAGAUUUGAAGCUGUAACAAGAGUUUAUGAACCUUCCGGAGCUCUCGAUCCGAUCGACACUAAGGUUCCCUGAUGAGGGCUAGCACAACGAAAGACAAGCAUGAGGCUCUGGUGGAUAACUAUUCAUUUCUCUUCAUUUAGUUUUCCCUUCUCAUAGUCAUUCUAUCGGGAAGAAGGCCUUUCUUAAAAGAGAAUCGAAUCGUCAAGACCCGCUUUCAUACUAGGGCCUUUGAUUUUGACUGCGCUCGUCUCGCCCUAAUCUCGCUAAGUCCGCUGCUUCACCUCUUGGGACAGCUGCUGAACCCCGUACGUACGUACCUGUCAACUAAGCUCCUCUCCUUAUGGACUCUUCGCUCUAUCUGUCGAUGUUCUAGCUGUCCGAAAGCCGGGAGCAGCAUCUUAAAAGAGAAGGGAAAGCUCCCAACCCAAGUGCAAGUGCCAUCCUAAAAGAUAGCUGUUGGAGGGAUAUCCUCUGCUAUUGACGAAGCUGUUAUUGGACUCGCUCGGCUCGGCUGGUCUCACUGGAACUCAGGGUUGGAGGAAGAAGGGCUACUAUAGACUAGAAGGGAGGCGUUAUCAUACCCAGUUUUUUAAUUUAGGGGUCUUCCCAGAGCAAAGGCACCGAUCUUACUUAUCUUAGGAAGAAAGAUAGAACUAUGAGUGAAGAAAGAAGGGAAGAGAAUUGCUCUCUUGUCGCUGCUAGUCUCUUGUUAGUAGUAAUAGCGGUAGGUGGGAACUCUUUUGAAAGAAGAGACGAUUUAGUCUCAAUCAAAGAGAAAAGAGAAUACAAAUAAGCGAAAGAGCAUGCAGUCUAUUGAUCAAAAGGGGCCAUCGGCCAUACAUGCAGGGCCGGUACAUGGCCAAUCAAAACAAAACUCAAAGUGAAAGGAAAGGGGCUUCUUGGCGCGCAGGCCUCCCUUCACAAACUAUGGGGAGGAGAAAUGCCCCACUACUCGAGUUGGAAUUCGAAUAACCCCAAUGAUAGUCCGAGCCUCCCUCCUCUCCUCUUGGCCAGCGCUGGUGGACUCUUUAGAGAUGAGCCAGGUAUGUGGCUGGGAGGAUACUCAUAUAUGGUCGGAAUUUUUUCAUCCUUGAGGGCUGAAUUAUGGGCGGUUAAGGUGGGUUUAGAGUUGGCAUGGGAGAAAGGCUUCCGGCGUGUGCUCUUGGAGGUAGAUUCUCAAGUUGUUGUUUACCUGCUGAACAAUGGUGGAUGCAAAAUGGAUUCGAAUGUACCUUAGUGAAGGAAACAGCUGCUGGCUAGAGAUUAGGUUGUUAUGUGGCAACAUGUUUAUCGUGAAGGCAAUAUGUGAGCGAACUGGAUGGCAAACAUCGCUCUCAACCAUAUUGUAGGACUCUCUUAUUUUCCUGAGCCACCGAAAGGCAUUUUCUCUCUUCUCUUGAAUGACCCGGUAGGGGUAUCUUUACCCAGGAUGUGUAUUAGUUAGUUUUGUUUUGGGCCUUAAGCCCCACAUAGUAAAAAAAAAGUAAGGAAGCAAUGCGUAUUUAUUUCCUAGUCUAUAGUGGAUCUGCGUAGCAGAGCCCAAUCUUCUACCCACAAGCUCUGGCCUUACUUGUUGUACUUGAUUCACCUACGUAAAUAGACCACUUUUGUAAGGGCUUUCUUUUCUAUUCGGGAAUAGUGAGAUCGAAGAGAAAAACUAUGCUGCUUGUUUAGUAACGAAUCUGUUUCUUUAUACAAAUGCGUAAAAGAUGUUAGCCGCACUUAAAAGCCGAGUACUCUACCGUUGAAGAGUAAGGCAAGGCGGCUAUAGGGUUGGAUGACUUGGAUGAAGGGGACUCCGCCCGCCACCUCAUGUUCCAAAGUGAAACGGUUGUUCUUCGAUCGAAGCUCCCUCUUCUGACGAUGGUUGGAGUUGACGUCAGUCAAAGUUACUUUUGAAGGCUCAAUAAUCAAUUGGAAGACCUUCGCUCGAUAAAGCCUUUCGAAAAAGACGAAAAAGGAGGAGGAUCGUCUGAUUGUACCUGAUCCUUUCUUAUCUGCCUAUUUGAAAUCAAUUUUAUUGAAAGGGACCGGCUAACCACUCGCUCUCCCAGUCGAGCAAACCUUUCACUUUCCUUUUACUUGCAGAUACUUCCUUGCGAAUAAGGAUUGGAUUUUAGAAAAAGAAAAAGAAAUUCAUAACUUCGAUCGGGAAAGAUCUUUCUACUUUCGGGCUGCCUUCUCAGAGGAGAACAAGCUAGAACUUAAUAAAUAUGGGCUCUCUCCUUCUAUAGAUUCUAAUCAGUAGAUCAGUUAAAGGUAGGCGAAAAGUCUGAAACUGAACUUCCCUUGCCUAGCAAUUCAAUAAGGGAAGGCAGGACUGCUAACUGCCUAACUAAGGGCUCUCUGGUAUCCAUAAUCCCGAAAGCCAAGAUGCUAAGCAAAAGCAUACCCUAAAACAAAUCAGGUCCACUUCCACCCGGCGGAGAAAGGAAAGACAGCAGUUGGAUGCUUGCCCUUUUUCAUGUAAAGGUUCUGAAACAAUGAAGCGCUCUCUUCCUUAAACACCGUACUGCAACAAUAAAGGGAAAGCUAUUCAAGGAAAUAGAGGCUCAAACUCCAUCACCAGUAGAGUGGAAAAAGCGUUGUCCAUUUGAGUAGAAAGACCAGCUUAGAUCGAAGUGGGCUAAGAGAAGGGGACUCCUCUUGAUAGAGGAAAUGAAAACUGGCUCGACCGUCUACAAUAUGAGGGAUUAGCCCUUGCCUCAGACAGAAGAACAGCGGAUUGAACAGGACAACCGGGAAGGGAAGCCUGACAUAGAUAUUGAUUUGAACAAAGGAACUUAAACCGGUACCAGAAACCAAACAAGAGAUGAAAUUCCAGAUUGAACAGAUGACCGACCUGCAAUAAGACAAAAAUCUAAUUCCUAAUUCCAUUCUCUAAGGCGAACUAAAGGGAUGUCUCUAAGCAGCCAAGGCCAAGAGCAAGCAGGAGGAGUAGUCCUAUCUGCCUAGAAGGAUUCGAUAAAGAGAAUGUGAGUGGGCAGGAGAUUCAUAGACACAGAAAGAGAAGACCAAAAGGAGCAGAAGGCACUCAGUUGUUUAUGUGAAAUCAAGAAGCAACAGGUUCCACUUUUACACUUUCCCGAAGAGAGCUCGAAGCAAUAAGAUGAAAGAUGGGAUGAGAUGCUAGCCUUAGCACAGAAGAUCAAUGAAAAAAGACUAGCUAGCGUGAGCGGGAGGAGUAUACGACAACCAAGACUUAUCCAAUUUAAUUGCCAAUUGCAGUAGACUUGGACUGAGCAAUUGAAGUGAAGACCUCAGGUCUAAGGGGCCCAAUCAUUGCAUUUGAAAGCAGCGCUAGAAAGCUUAUAAGAGCUGUAAACUUGUGAUAUAGGCACAUAAACGUAAAGAAGGGCUGAACCCCUUACUCAUGGAACUGCUAGCAGCUGGAGGGGCCGGAUAGGCUAAGAAGCCAGGCAAGGCGGGAAGAGGAAGCGAGAAAGAAGAUGAAUUGGUAGCGAGUUCUAUCACUCGUAUGAGGAAGGUCCCUGCACCCAAAAGAGAAACUGCACCUGAAGGAAGGGGUACAAGACAAGGAAUAGAGAGAGAGCCCAUUCGACAAUGCACAUUGUUUCGGCCCUGCGUAUGAAUACACGGAUUUUUCCAAUUCCUAUUAGUCCGCAUCUUAGAUUGAUAUAGCUAGAUACUCACAGCCCUUCCGGUGGACCAAGGAGUACCCACAGCUGUCACGCUUCUCUGCUUGGCCUAUGUUGAAUAGGACUAGCAGAAAUGGAAGUCCGACCAAUCCAUAUAAUGAAUACGAGAUGGGGAGUUUUCGAAGAUAGGGAAGUGCCCGCUUCCCGCUAGAAAGAAAGCCUGGGAAACUAUCAAUGACCUGCGUGCCCCCGGAUAGGGGAGUCCUUUCUUUAGGCAUUAAAGGCAGCUAAGCAGGAGUAUAUGUAGUAGCUUUUUGGCCUCUUUCCCUGGGCUUACUAAGGUCAGGACAUACCAAUCCUUUGAGUCAGUAGUGAGAGGCUCCUUGCAAGUAAAUGAAUCCACCCAACCCUUCUACUACUCUGCCUUCCAUAUCUGUUUUCGAAGUCCCUUUUAAGAUCCUCUAAAGAAGUGAAUGACUAAAAGGAUCAGGACAGAACGUAAGCAUUGACAGCAAACGGGCUAGAGGGCAAGGGCUUGUUGGCUUCACAUAUUAACAUAUUCGCAAAGAAAGAUAAUAUGCUCUCUACCUCCUAUAAAGACUUAUGAGUUGAUGAUCUUGCUCCCCCCUUAGAAUGGUUACUGGACAAGGGCGGGAGCGCCAUAACGUUAACUACUUCAAAAUAGGAGGUGUCGUUCUUGACUCGACCCUAGGGGUGAACUCUCUUUUCUAAUUGCUGGUUUAGGAGUGAAAAUUUGUCUUCGUUCUUCGGGCGCCUACUCCUUGUUCCACUUGAGGGGGAUACCUCCUUGGUUUCGUAGAUUAUUAGUAUUGCAUACUUCUUUAUUUGAUUGGGAAGGGCUAUGAUGUCAAUAGAUAUUUAUGAAUAAAGAUCCUCCUGGCAGUACGACGGACCUUAGAGAUCGCAAAGUUGAAGCAAGCCCAGUGUAAAACCUUACUAGUAAAAGUUCCCUAAAUAAGGUGGGAUCAAAAUACGUUUUUUGAAGCCGACUGGUAGCAUGUAGUCGUAGGCGGAGAUAAACAAGUGAUAAACAUUUAGUCCUCACUUCACACUUUGUAGAUAUCUUUCUCUAUUAUCGGCUGCAUGCUUUCGGAGAGAAAACAAUGGGAAGUUCAGUCAAACGCAUUUACCGCGCCAAUGAUCAAGCAAAUAAGAAUCUCUGUCUUAUUUUUCUUACGCAAUUUCAGAAGAUUCCCCAUCUGAGAGAUGUUGUUCUAUGGAAGGUCCCUUUUUUAAAUAAGGAGUUUGCCUAGGAACUCCACCUUAGAAACUUUCCUGCCUCCGCUCAAAAUCCACCUAUACUAAUCGAAUUUUUUCCUAUUCUUAGACGACUUUUCUAUUGCCUUCCGUGCAAAAACUCUUUUGAAUCCGUAGGGGAAUGCGGAUAUAAAGAGAAAUGAAGCAGUUGGGCCUGAUAUAGAGACUGCCCAUAAGAUAAGGCUGAGCUUAAACCUUAUGUGUCGUCUAACUGAGCAGCAACACAAUAUCGGAAGAUUUAAAGCUGUAACAAGAG
This 7293-nucleotide long non-coding RNA is filed under the name Panax ginseng (ginseng). RNAcentral's name for it is "long non-coding RNA (PGIN_LNC006387)". The record is from RNAcentral. Lineage: Eukaryota; Viridiplantae; Streptophyta; Magnoliopsida; Apiales; Araliaceae.